UUUUUUUUUUAAUUUUUUUUUUUCUUAAGACAGAGUCUCCCUCUGUCACCCAGGCUGGAGUGCAGUGGCACAAUCACUGCUCACUGCAACCUCUGCCUCUCGAGUUCAAGUGAUUCUCCUGCCUUGGCCUCCCGAGUAGCUGGGAUUACAGGUGACUGUCACCACGCCCGGAUAAUUUUUUGUAUUUUUAGUAGAGACAUAAUUUCACCCUGUUGGCCAGGCUGAUCUCGAACACCUGACCUCACGUGAUCCACCCACCUUGACCUCCCAAACUGCUGGGAAUACAGGCAUAAGCCACGGUGCCCAGCCCAUAUAGCUAUUUAAAUUUGACUAAAAUUAAAUAAAAUUAGAAGUUCAGUUUCUCAUUUACACUUCAAGCAUUCAGUUACCCACAGGUGGCCACUGACCAGAGGCUGGUAGAGACGUCACACUCCGCACUGCAGAAGGAUCUAUGGAUGAAGUGGCUCUAAGAUAAUCUUGGCAUCUUUAUAUUGAAGCUACCAAAGUUUUACUCUGAUUAUUGUAGGCAUCAGCAUUCUCCCACUUAAAAUGUCAGUGCUAUUGCAACGAUCAGAUCUGUGACUUCCCAGAAGCUCUCCUCUUCCUGGACAGAUAACUGCAGAGCAUCUGCACUCUGCCUCCACACUGAGGGACAACAGAAGCCUCCCCGUAAAAUCAGGGGGAGGAAAAAAAAAAAAGAAUCCCUAGUCCCUCUCCCCCUACAAUUUUGUGAAACUCCUCUUAAUAUUCUUCUAGAAUAACUGCCAGAGUUGCAAUAAACAAGCAUCCCUUGACCAGGAAGCAACAGGGAAGCAAGAAGAGGGAGAUGAAAGGACCCUCUGUUCCCUCUGGAACCCCAGGCCCAGCCUGGACUGAGAAAAGGCAGCACAGCCCGGCAGACCUGCACACCUGAUGCAAACCAUGCACACGGCUUCCCCAGGCCUCGGUCCCCCGUUCUGCCCUCACUGGCCACUGUGGCUCUGUUAGAGGCAGAUCCCUGAGCCCCAACACCCACAGCCAGUCCCUCCUUGCAGGUCUCAGCUCUGCUGUCACUGCUUCCCUGAUGCUUCUCAUCAUUCACGAACUAUAGCCCCUCUACCCCACAGCCCUUGCUACCGCCCACCCCACCAGGGAGUUUGGCACACAGCAGGUGCCUGACAUGCCCCAACGGGCGGGCAUGUCAGGGUAGGGCUUGGAGUUCCAAAGGCCACGUCCCGCAUACCACCACAAGUGCCACAGAGGCUGUGGAAGGGGUCCAGGCUUCAGGUUUCAGGCCUGCACUCAGCGCCUGUGGUCCCAGCUACUCGGGAGGCUGAGGCAGGAGAAUGGCGUGAACCCGGGAGGCGGAGCUUGUAGUGAGUUGAGAUCACACCACUGCACUCCAGCCUGGAUGACAGAGCGAGACUCCGUCUCAAAAAAAAAAAAAAAAAGUGGCAAACACCCCAUGUCUGCCCUGGCUCCGGCCAUCUCCAUGGGGUGGACAGAGCUUCAGAAAACCUCACUGUGGAGAGGUUUCCACAGGCCAGGCCUUUGCUCAGCAGAUGAGCGAGAGGCUCAGCCACCCUAGGGAAGAAGCUCAUAUCUGCUAUGUUACUGAUGAUAUCCACAUAAAUUUCUAUUUUGUCUCCCACACACAGACCUGGGAUCCAUGUUUGAGCAAGCGGCUCCUACCAACAGACCCUCCAUGCCAUCAUUUCCCUGACCUCCCCAAGAAGAGCCAGGCCAGGCAGCGUCCCCACAUGGGCGCUGGGGCCCAGGAAGAUCUGGGUCCUGCCCCUCUUCUCCCUCAUCCCUGCAGCACCUGGCUUGCUGUGGAAGCCCAGCAGUGCUGACUGAACCCACAUUCACCUGGGGUGUUCAGGAGAAGCCUCUGUGCAGAAAUCAGCUGGGAAGCAGGGCCGUGUGUGCUGGCCAGAUCACUCGAAUGGAUUUAGAGAACUGAAUUUUCAACACAGGUUCUGCCACCAAGUCCCUCAAACCCUUCGUGAGCCUGGAGCCACAGAGCCAUUUGCUGCACUCCCACAAUCUCUCACCACCCUGCGCAGAAGCCCAGUUUAUCCAAAGGACCAUAACAUUUUGCGUGUAAACAAAGUUUGGCAUAGUGAAUUAAAAGUGAAGUCACCACUUCUAUUUUCUAUUAAUCCAUUCAUGCAAACAUUUAUCUCUUGAGUAUGGGCAUCGAAUACUGUGGAAUUAGGAUUUAGUCCAUGCCUUCAAGAAAUAUACAUCACAGAAGAAAAGGCAUAGCUUGUAACUAACAGUGGUGAACAGGCAAGAAAUACACAUUGCAGAAGAAAAGGUAGAGCUUGUAACUGUAACAGUGGUGAACAGGCAAGAAAUACACAUCAUAGAAGGAAAAGUAGAGCUUGUAACUAAUAUCAUAGAAUGAAAGAUGUAGCUUAUAACAGUGGCGAACAGGACAGAAUCUCACAGGUUCAUCAGGAGCCGCCGAGGAGGAAGCCAUGAUUCAUUUCCACCUGCAGUAGAUAAAUGUUUUCUGGAUAAAGUAACUUUUCUAGAGUGAUAUCUGCUCCUCAUUAUUGAAAUCUUGCUUGAUAGGGUAUUAAAUUACCACUUUAUGUGCUGCUUAUAUAAAAUACAUCAUUGUCAGGGGAGGUUAUAAAAUAACCUUAAUACUUCACACAAGCUUCGACUGUGAAUGGUGCGAGGCAAUGGGACGAUGUGUUCCCUUGUUCUCGAGAUGCAGAAGGGGCAAGACCCUGGUUCCCUUCUCCUCCCCACCGCCCUGUUCCCAGAUGAGGGGCAGAGGCAAGGCCGCUGUGCAGUCCUAGAGUUGGCUCCAGGUCCAGGACACCACGCCCGGACUCUCUGCACCCCAUACGAGAAUUACAGCUUGGUGGGCAAUCACCAAUUUACCUGGCAGUAGGGAGUCCUUCAUCAAAAGCCUGUGCUUCCAGGAGCCAGCACAAAGUAGGAGCCCCCAGAAAAACUGUUUCAGGUGCUCCUGAAACCUGGGUAGAGUCACAGCCUGGCAGGAAGCACCAGUGAUGAAAGUGUGCCCAAGACUGGGAGGAUGGUCAGAUGCCUGGAGACCAGACCAGCCUGCAGCAGAUGACCACUUCUCUCUUGUUCGUUAGAGAUAGACAGUCUGGGCUUCAUUUUGUAUGUGGAGUCUCAUGGCACAGAAAUACCACAAAGGGAUUAGACUUCAUGUACCCCAAUUUUUUAAAUUAAAAAAAAAUCACAUUUAUUGCAACUAAUUCUAAAUCCAAAGAAGAAAAAUAAAUAAGUAUAAAAAUGCAUGCCUACAAAAUGUAAACCACAAUCUCUUUCCUCACAGGAGACUCAAAAUUUAGUUUACCUUUUCUUCAGUUUUAUCUAAUUUUUUUAAGCCAUUACUGAGGUGUCUCCUCACUGCCUCAUGAGGAGGUUCAUGGGCUUUUGGGGGCUCUUUGCUGUUUUAUCAUUUUUUAGGUUUAAGGGCAGGAUCAUUUUCCCACACUUGUUUGCUUCCUUGAUGGCCAAUUUUUCACAAGGACAUCAUUGUGCAUCUGAAAACCUAGUAACUGAACUUCAUUAAAAGUGAAAAAAAUAAGGUCAUGUUGGCUGCUAUGACAACAUCCUCAGUCACCGAAUCUCCCUGGGGUACCAGACACAACCCCAAUUUCCUUGUAACCCCAGCAUGCAUGUAUCGCUGCGGCUAACAGGACUGGCCUAUCCUGGGGGAGGUAUGAAAGCAAAGAGAAGAGAAGGCAGGUGACUCAUUUAGGAAACUCAGGUGAUCCUAUCGAGCCACGUUUCUCAGGGCGUCAGGGGACCAGCCACAUGCAGGGAACCUCCUGGCCUGGCAGGUGGCAGACUCCUGGCACCCUCCUCAGACACGUUAAUCAGAGAAUAUAAAGGCGGGUAAAUUCUGAAAAGUAUCUGUAAAGGAAGGACUUAGCUCUGCUGUGAGCCCACUACAUGCGGGGUCGUGCAGGACGCCACUCCCAGCGUCCAGUCUCCAUUUCACCCUCCUGGGAGGAACACCCGUCAAGUCAUAGAGCACGGUCUUCAGCGAACACCUUCCUGCGUGACCUCCACUGUCACCCAGCCCUGCAGGAGUAGCCGCUGAGUAGGGGAAACAAGUCUUUUCUUCUGAUCCGGCCACUGGGCAUAAGACCAACACUCCUAUGUCUCUGGGGAAAGGAGCGGCCCUGGGCAGGAAUGCACUUGGCAGCCCCAGGGAGGGGCCAGGUGUGGAGGACCAGUCCUCUGUCCGCAGACACAUCAGUAUAGUAUCCUAGAGCAGAACAUCCAGCCCAGCUGAGCCUAUAUAUGGCCGCACUCUGGACAGCAACUUCCCGGUGACCAGGGGGACUGGGCCAGAGCCGCUCAGCAGGGCUGCCCUGAAUUUGCAACCUGAAGAAGCUGUACAGUCGUACGUGUAUGUUGCCUUAAGCCCCUAGGUUUUGGGGUCACUUGUCAGACAGCGACAGACAGUGGAUGCACAUGGGCUCCCAGGCCACGAUGGCCUCUGACGGCCUCA
Long non-coding RNA from Macaca fascicularis (crab-eating macaque), 4489 nucleotides. Lineage: Eukaryota; Metazoa; Chordata; Mammalia; Primates; Cercopithecidae. The record is from Ensembl.